GAUCAUGGCUAGGACGAACGCUGGCGGCGUGCCUAACACAUGCAAGUCGAGCGAGGAGAUUCCUUCGGGAUGAUCCUAGCGGCGGACGGGUGAGUAACACGUGGGCAACCUGCCUCAUAGAGAGGAAUAGCCUUCCGAAAGGGAGAUUAAUACCUCAUAACAUUGCAGUUUCGCAUGGAACAGCAAUUAAAGGAGUAAUCCGCUAUGAGAUGGGCCCGCGGCGCAUUAGCUAGUUGGUGAGGUAACGGCUCACCAAGGCGACGAUGCGUAGCCGACCUGAGAGGGUGAUCGGCCACAUUGGGACUGAGACACGGCCCAGACUCCUACGGGAGGCAGCAGUGGGGAAUAUUGCACAAUGGGGGAAACCCUGAUGCCAGCAACGCCGCGUGAGUGAUGACGGCCUUCGGGUUGUAAAGCUCUGUCUUCAGGGACGAUAAUGACGGUACCUGAGGAGGAAGCCACGGCUAACUACGUGCCAGCCGCCGC
This 486-nucleotide ribosomal RNA is filed under the name uncultured bacterium. RNAcentral describes it as "bacterial SSU rRNA". It matches the Rfam family "Bacterial small subunit ribosomal RNA", at positions 15 to 518 of the family's 1533-position model. The record is from RNAcentral.